UUGGGGUUGUAGGACACUCUAUACGGAGUUACAAAGGAAAUGAUUAGACGAAUGGUUUUGGAAAAGCCAACCAUAGAAGGUAAAGGUCCUGUAGUCGAAAGUCAUUUCUCUCCUGAGUGGAUCCUGAGUACGGCGGAACACGUGAAAUUCCGUCGGAAUCUGGGAGGACCAUCUCCCAAGGCUAAAUACUCUCUAGUGACCGAUAGUGAACCAGUACCGUGAGGGAAAGGUGAAAAGCACCCCGGAAGGGGAGUGAAAUAGAACCUGAAACCGUGUGCUUACAAAUAGUCAGAGCCCGUUAAUGGGUGAUGGCGUGCCUUUUGUAGAAUGAACCGGCGAGUUACGAUUUGAUGCAAGGUUAAGCAGUAAAUGUGGAGCCGUAGCGAAAGCGAGUCUGAAUAGGGCGAAUGAGUAUCUGGUCGUAGACCCGAAACCAAGUGAUCUACCCAUGUCCAGGUUGAAGUUCAGGUAACACUGAAUGGAGGACCGAACCGACUUACGUUGAAAAGUGAGCGGAUGAGGUGUGGGUAGCGGAGAAAUUCCAAUCGAACUUGGAGAUAGCUGGUUCUCUCCGAAAUAGCUUUAGGGCUAGCCUCAAGUGAUGAUUAUUGGAGGUAGAGCACUGUUUGGACGAGGGGCCCCUCUCGGGUUACCGAAUUCAGACAAACUCCGAAUGCCAAAUAAUUUAACUUGGGAGUCAGACUAUGGGUGAUAAGGUCCGUAGUCGAAAGGGAAACAGCCCAGACCACCAGCUAAGGUCCCAAAAUAUAUGUUAAGUGGAAAAGGAUGUGGCGUUGCCCAGACAACUAGGAUGUUGGCUUAGAAGCAGCCAUCAUUUAAAGAGUGCGUAAUAGCUCACUAGUCGAGUGACACUGCGCCGAAAAUGUACCGGGGCUAAACAUAUUACCGAAGCUGUGGAUUAUCCGUAAGGAUAAUGGUAGGAGAGCGUUCUAAACGUGUUGAAGCAUGAUCGUAAGGACAUGUGGAAUGUUUAGAAGUGAGAAUGCCGGUGUGAGUAGCGAAAGAUGGGUGAGAG
RNAcentral lists this ribosomal RNA (1036 nucleotides) under Salmonella enterica subsp. enterica serovar Legon. RNAcentral's name for it is "bacterial LSU rRNA". It matches the Rfam family "Bacterial large subunit ribosomal RNA", at positions 292 to 1327 of the family's 2925-position model. The record is from RNAcentral. Lineage: Bacteria; Pseudomonadati; Pseudomonadota; Gammaproteobacteria; Enterobacterales; Enterobacteriaceae.